UGCUAUUCUGUAUUCUUUUUGUAGUUUGGCGAUUGGACGCAUGGAACCAAAUGGAGAAAUAUUUAAUCAAACGAAAGGUUUGGCUUAUCUUAGGGGCGCCUGCAGCAGACAUAAGGCUGUCCUGGUGACUGAGGCUCCUGGAUCACUGGAUGGUGUAUACACUGCUGUACAUGAAUUGGUUCAUGCACUAGGGUCUGAUCAUGAUGGAUCUCAAGUACCAGCUAAGCUUGGUUUACCGUGCCCAGACAACGCUGGUUACAUUAUGUCGCCUCAUAGAGUUAUAGAUGGCGCUGCAAAAUUUUCGAAUUGUACAGAGGCGCAGGUCAUAUUAUUUUUAUCCAAUGUGAAAUCAACGUGCAUAGAAAAAUCUACACUAAGACACAAAGUACCACUUUCUUCCCAAACGAUCGCAGACGCUUGGCCUGAUCAAAAUGCUUAUUGCAAGAAGCUUCAUCCUACGGUUACAAAUGUAUACUUU
Dermacentor silvarum is the source of this 478-nucleotide long non-coding RNA. RefSeq lists it as uncharacterized. The record is from RefSeq and is a predicted model, not a curated record. The transcript is spliced from 4 exons. NCBI's taxonomy places the organism in Eukaryota, Metazoa, Arthropoda, Arachnida, Ixodida, Ixodidae.